Molecule: microRNA, 22 nt
Filed under: Heligmosomoides polygyrus
Lineage: Eukaryota; Metazoa; Nematoda; Chromadorea; Rhabditida; Heligmosomidae
Description: hpo-miR-10086-3p
Source: miRBase by way of RNAcentral
GUAUAGUAGUGGAAUGGAAGCG